Molecule: ribosomal RNA, 468 nt
Filed under: uncultured bacterium
Lineage: Bacteria
Description: partial 16S ribosomal RNA
Rfam family: Bacterial small subunit ribosomal RNA
Source: RNAcentral
GACGAACGCUGGCGGCGUGCUUAGCACAUGCAAGUCGAACGGAAAGGCCCUGCUUUGGUGGGGUGCUCGAGUGGCGAACGGGUGAGUAACCCGUGAGUAACCUGCCCUUGACUUUGGGAUAACUUCAGGAAACUGGAGCUAAUACCGGAUAGGAGCUCCUGCUGCAUGGUGGGGGUUGGAAAGUUUCGGCGGUUGGUGUUGGACUAGCGGCUGAUCAGCUUGUUGGAGGGGUAGUGGCAGAGCAAGGCCAUGGCGGGUAGCCGGCCUGGGAGGGUGACCGGCCACAUUGGGAUUGGGAUACGGCCCAGACUCCAACGGGAGGCAGCGGUGGAGAAUAUUGCAUAAUGGGCGGAGGCCUGACGCAGCACCGCCGCGUGCGGGAUGUCGGCCUUCGGGUUGUAAACCGCUUUCGCCUGUGACGAAGCGUUAGUGACGGUAAUGGGUAAAUAAGCACCGGCUAACUACGUG